GACGAACGCUGGCGGCGUGCCUAAUACAUGCAAGUCGAGCGGACCGACGGGAGCUUGCUCCCUUAGGUUAGCGGCGGACGGGUGAGUAACACGUGGGUAACCUGCCUGUAAGACUGGGAUAACUCCGGGAAACCGGGGCUAAUACCGGAUGCUUGAUUGAACCGCAUGGUUCAAUUAUAAAAGGUGGCUUUUAGCUACCACUUACAGAUGGACCCGCGGCGCAUUAGCUAGUUGGUGAGGUAACGGCUCACCAAGGCAACGAUGCGUAGCCGACCUGAGAGGGUGAUCGGCCACACUGGGACUGAGACACGGCCCAGACUCCUACGGGAGGCAGCAGUAGGGAAUCUUCCGCAAUGGACGAAAGUCUGACGGAGCAACGCCGCGUGAGUGACGAAGGCCUUCGGGUCGUAAAGCUCUGUUGUUAGGGAAGAACAAGUACCGUUCGAAUAGGGCGGUACCUUGACGGUACCUAACCAGAAAGCCACGGCUAACUACGUGCCAGCAGCCGCGGUAAUACGUAGGUGGCAAGCGUUGUCCGGAAUUAUUGGGCGUAAAGCGCGCGCAGGCGGUUUCUUAAGUCUGAUGUGAAAGCCCCCGGCUCAACCGGGGAGGGUCAUUGGAAACUGGGGAACUUGAGUGCAGAAGAGGAGAGUGGAAUUCCACGUGUAGCGGUGAAAUGCGUAGAGAUGUGGAGGAACACCAGUGGCGAAGGCGACUCUCUGGUCUGUAACUGACGCUGAGGCGCGAAAGCGUGGGGAGCGAACAGGAUUAGAUACCCUGGUAGUCCACGCCGUAAACGAUGAGUGCUAAGUGUUAGAGGGUUUCCGCCCUUUAGUGCUGCAGCAAACGCAUUAAGCACUCCGCCUGGGGAGUACGGUCGCAAGACUGAAACUCAAAGGAAUUGACGGGGGCCCGCACAAGCGGUGGAGCAUGUGG
RNAcentral lists this ribosomal RNA (936 nucleotides) under Bacillus haynesii. Its description in RNAcentral is "bacterial SSU rRNA". It matches the Rfam family "Bacterial small subunit ribosomal RNA", at positions 28 to 944 of the family's 1533-position model. The record is from RNAcentral. Lineage: Bacteria; Bacillati; Bacillota; Bacilli; Caryophanales; Bacillaceae.